AUGGAGUUCAGUAGAAGAUUAACACUGACCAUGGCUACCGGAGGACUAUAUGAACAAGGCUUGCCAGGUCCUGCAUCAUCAACUAACAGCCAACUCCAAAUGAUUACUCAGGUUAGCUCUCCUUCUGUAACUAACCCAUUUUACAAUUGCUCUCCUUUCCCAGGAAUUCCAGAGGCCGAGUAUCGUUGCAGGGUAUAUGCGAACAACAAAAUCUAUGCCACAACUCUUUUCAGUACAUCUAUGGUGUCCUCAUUUCGGGAUAGUAAGUCCGACGACAAGAGAUUCUACAUAUUUUCUCCCACAAAGGCACUUAAGUUGAAGACAUAUUCAAAAGAUGACCGUGUCUCUGGUCGAGGCCUUGGUCUUGGUCAGGAGUGUUUAUUCGCUCAGGUUGCUUAG
This 399-nucleotide ribosomal RNA is filed under the name Triticum aestivum (bread wheat). RNAcentral describes it as "partial small subunit ribosomal RNA". The record is from RNAcentral. Lineage: Eukaryota; Viridiplantae; Streptophyta; Magnoliopsida; Poales; Poaceae.